RNAcentral lists this long non-coding RNA (1127 nucleotides) under Elaeis guineensis (African oil palm). Its description in RNAcentral is "long non-coding RNA (EGUI_LNC045012)". Lineage: Eukaryota; Viridiplantae; Streptophyta; Magnoliopsida; Arecales; Arecaceae. The record is from RNAcentral.
GUGGUGGCUGGCGACAAGGGGAUGACGAUCUCAUGGCCUGGAGGGACCAAACCGGUGGUCGACGGUGACCAUCGACGUCGGAAAAUCGAAGAAAAGAGGACAAAAAUAGAGGUUUCUUCCACAACAAAAUCCAACGACUCCGGUUACCAGCAAUCGUGCACAUGGGAAUGGAAAGAAAGGAGGAGAAGAGAGGAAGGGGAGGAGGCUCACCUUCGAUGCCGGAGAGGCUUUCUAGCAAGAAAAUUGGAUGGGCACAGAGUCGGUCUUCCAUGAUGAUUUUUUGGUGAUUGCCGCUAAUGAACUUCGAAAUUUUCGAUGAGAAGGAAAGAGAAGGGAUCUCCUCCUUAAAUAGAGCUGGAAGGGGCCUCUUUCCAACUCCGGUUGGGAGUCGGUGAGAGGAGAAAGAAGACUCCCUUCGGGAGUCUUCUCUUCUGUUUUCCCUUCCUCUUUUUUUUUUUUUGGACUGGGGUUUGUUACAUGGGCUGGGCCAUGACAACUACACUCUCUAUCGAGCAUACAUAGGAUGUACGAGUCUUAUCGGUAUCAUCGAUUUUCGACUUGAUGAUCCAAUGACUAGAAGCAUUUUAGAUUAGAGCUAUCAAAAUUUUAGAUCUCACUGGCAUGAUCUCAUCAUAGCCCUAAAAUCAUUAUCCUAAUCUAUGGGGUUUAUCAUAAUCAUAAACAUAUGAUGUAGCAAAUGAUAAAACAUAAUACCUUAUAAAUAAAAUAACUGAUAUCAUGCAAAUGAGUAGGAAGAUAUCAUAGAAAAGUUUCUUCGCAUCACCCAUGCGAUUGACUUGUAAGGUACUAUUUUUUCAAUCUCCCACUUGUACUAAAGCCAAUCGCCCCGUACCUGAUACCCAUGCAAUCAAGGUGGUGAUCACACUGCUGUUGUGUAAAGGCUUAGUGAACUGGUUCAUUAUACUAUUUUUUAUAUAAACUCAUUUUAUGAUCAAAUCAUGAAUGAGGUGAAAAUAUCUUAGGAUGUGCGUAUGUUCCUAGUGAGACCAUACCCAACUUAGUGAUGAACCCUUUCAUCAAAUAAUUUUUCUUAGCAAUCUUUACUCACAGCAAUUAACUGAGUCAAACUCAGUUUGUUGUUUAGAAUUUUUCAAAUUCAUUGCUCU